Molecule: transfer RNA, 72 nt
Filed under: Camelus ferus (Wild Bactrian camel)
Lineage: Eukaryota; Metazoa; Chordata; Mammalia; Artiodactyla; Camelidae
Rfam family: tRNA
About the family: Transfer RNA (tRNA) molecules are approximately 80 nucleotides in length.
Source: Rfam by way of RNAcentral
GAGGGUAUAGCUCAGUGGAAGAACUCUUGCUUAGCAUGCACAAGGUCCUGGGUUCAACACCCAGUACCUCCA